AUGGACGCCGGCCAGCUCUUCUCCGUCGACCCCCUAGAGCGCCAGGCCGCGAGGGGCCACGGGGCCGUCACCUCUAUGGCCGCUGGCAGUGAUGUCAUUGUCCUUGGCACCUCCCGUGGCUGGCUCGUCCGCCACGACUUCUCCUUUGAGGACGCCCUGGAUAUCGACCUCGGGGGCGGCCGCUCCGGCGACCAUACAGUGCACCGGGUUUUCCUGGACCCCGGUGGCAAGCACUGUGUUGUCACGGUGAUCCACCCGGGUGGCGCAGAGACAUACUACCACCAUGCCAGGUGGCCGCGCCCAAAGCCACUCCCCCGCCUCCGUGGCCUCCUCGUCAAUGCUGUCGCCUGGAAUCGCCAAGCCAUCACCGAAGCGUCAACCAAGGAGGUGAUCCUGGGGACCGAGGCUGGACAGAUCUUUGAGAUGGCCGUGGACGAGGCUGAUAAGAAGGAGAAGUAUGUGAAGUUGCUCUUCGAGCUCACCGAGCUGCGAGAGGGCAUCAAGGACCUGCAGAUGGAGACAGCUGUGGUUGGGAAUGCCACGAGAUACUAUGUGAUGGCUGUCACACCCACACGGCUUUACUCGUUCACCGGCAUUGGUUCUUUGGAAACUGUUUUUGCUAGCUAUACCGACCGUGCCAUUCACUUCAUGGAGCUCCCAGGAGAAAUACCUAAUAGUGAACUACACUUCUUUAUCAAGCAAAGAAGGGCUAAACACUUUGGAUGGCUUUCUGGAGCUGGAAUUUAUUACGGUGAACUCAAUUUUGGAGCUCAACACAGCUCUACGAGUGGAGAUGAAAACUUUGUGGAAAACAAAGGUUUCUUUGACUAUUCAAAACUUGGAGAUUCCAACAUAAAACCAUCAUCAUUUGCAGUGUCUGAGUUCCAUUUUCUGCUCUUGAUUGAAGACAAAAUUAAGGUAGUGAACAGAAUCAGUCAGCAAAUUGUGGAGGAGCUUGUAGUUGAUAAUACACCCGAAUCUUCAAAAGGAAUCAUCGGGCUUUGUAGUGAUGCAUCAACUGGAGUUUUCUAUGCAUUUGAUGAAACCUCCAUAUUCCAGGUUUCUACGUCUGAUGAGGGUCGUGACAUGUGGCAAGUGUACUUGGAUAUGAAGGCAUAUGCUGUUGCUUUGUCCCAUUGCCUUAACCCUUUCCAGAGGGACCAAGUUUAUCUAGUGCAGGCUGAUGCUGCAUUUGCUGCAAAAGAAUAUUACAUAGCAGCUUCAUUUUAUGCAAAGAUGAACUAUAUUUUAUCAUUUGAAGAGAUCAGUUUAAAGUUUAUAUCCGUAGGUGAGCAGGAUGCUCUCAGGACUUUCUUAUUGAGAAGGCUUGAUAACCUCACCAAAGAUGACAAGAUGCAAAUAACAAUGAUCUCGACUUGGGCUACUGAGCUGUACUUAGAUAAGAUUAAUCGUCUCCUGUUGGAAGAUGGCACAGGCACCACUACAAAUACAGUAACAAAUUCCAAUAGCUCGGCAUAUCGUUCAGUAGUAGAUGAAUUCCGUGCGUUUCUCAGUGAUAGCAAAGAUGUAUUAGAUGAAGCAACAACAAUGAUACUGCUGGAAAGUUAUGGCAGAGUGGAUGAGCUGGUGUAUUUUGCUGGUUUGAAGGAGCAGUAUGAAAUUGUGGUUCAUCAUUACAUUCAGCAAGGAGAAGCAAGGAAAGCCUUGGAAGUGCUUCAACGACAUAAUGUUCCAGUAGACCUUGUGUAUAAAUUUGCCCCAGAUUUAAUCAUGUUAGAUGCUUACGAGACUGUCGAAUCGUGGAUGAUGGCCAGAAACAAGUUGAAUCCAGGGAAGCUUAUACCAGCGAUGAUGCGUUAUGUGAGCGAACCACAUGCCAAGAAUGAAACACAUGAGGUCAUUAAGUACUUGGAAUUUUGUGUCAAAGAUUUGAACAAUGAGGAUCCUGGAGUCCACAAUUUGUUGCUCUCAUUGUAUUCCAAGAAGGCGGAUGAGUCCCAGCUUUUACAAUUUCUCGACACCAAGUUUGGGAGUGGACAAGCAAAUGGACCUGAGUUCUUUUACGAACCCCAGUAUGCUCUGCGUCUAUGUCUCCAAGCAAAGAGGAUGCGUGCUUGUGUUCGUAUUUACAGCAUGAUGUCCAUGCAUGAGGAAGCUGUGGCACUUGCUUUGAGGGUGGACUUGGAGCUUGCAAAGGCAGAAGCAGACAAAGUUGAAGAUGAUGAAGAGCUUAGGAAGAAGCUGUGGCUUAAGGUUGCAAAGCAUGUCAUCGAGCAAGAGAAAGGAGUCAAGAGGGAGAACAUAAAGAAAGCUAUAGAAUUUCUAUCAGAAACUAACAACUUGCUGAAGAUUGAGGAUAUCUUGCCAUUUUUCCCAGACUUUGUAUUGAUUGACGACUUUAAAGAAGAAAUCUGCAAAUCUCUCAAGGACUAUAACAGCCAGAUUGAGCAACUGAAGGCCGAGAUGGAUGAUGCUACGCGUGGAGCAGACAACAUCAGAAGUGAUAUUGGUGCCCUUGCUCAGAGAUUCACAGUGAUUGAUCGCGAGGAGGAAUGUGGGGUAUGCCGGCGCAAAAUAUUGACUGUGGGAGGAUUGCACCAAGUAGGAAGAAGCUAUACGUCUGUUGGGCACAUGGCCCCCUUCUAUGUGUUUCCCUGCGGACACGCCUUCCACGCGAAUUGUUUGAUUGCCCAUGUAACUCGCUGCACCAGCCAAGUGCAAGCUGCGAGAAUACUGAACCUUCAGAAGCAGCUAAGCUUGAUGGACAGGAAAGCAGCAAAAGACAACGGCGGGACCGGGAACGGUGAAUCUACUGUCAGCAGCGCACCAACAGUCGACAAGCUGAGGUCACAGCUGGACGACGCCGUGGCGAGCGAGUGCCCCUUCUGCGGCGACCUGAUGAUCAAGGAGAUCUCGCUGCCUUUCAUUCUCCCUGGGGAGUCGGUUGAGAAGGCUUCAUGGGAGAUCAAGCCGCAACCGGCGUCUCAGAAGAUUCUUCCGAUGACCAUGUCGAUAUGA
RNAcentral lists this ribosomal RNA (2979 nucleotides) under Triticum aestivum (bread wheat). RNAcentral's name for it is "partial small subunit ribosomal RNA". Lineage: Eukaryota; Viridiplantae; Streptophyta; Magnoliopsida; Poales; Poaceae. The record is from RNAcentral.